RNAcentral lists this transfer RNA (73 nucleotides) under Sphaerodactylus townsendi. Its description in RNAcentral is "tRNA-Ala". It matches the Rfam family "tRNA". Rfam says of the family: Transfer RNA (tRNA) molecules are approximately 80 nucleotides in length. The record is from RNAcentral. Lineage: Eukaryota; Metazoa; Chordata; Lepidosauria; Squamata; Sphaerodactylidae.
AGGGGCUGUGGCUCAGUGGCAGAUCGUCCGCUUGGCAUGUAGAAGGUCCCAGGUUCUAACCCCAGCACCUCUA